AGAGUUUGAUCAUGGCUCAGAUUGAACGCUGGCGGCAUGCCUUACACAUGCAAGUCGAACGGUAACGGGCCUUCGGGUGCCGACGAGUGGCGAACGGGUGAGUAAUGCAUCGGAACGUACCUUUCAGUGGGGGAUAACGUAGCGAAAGUUACGCUAAUACCGCAUAUUCUGUGAGCAGGAAAGCAGGGGAUCGCAAGACCUUGCGCUGAUUGAGCGGCCGAUGUCAGAUUAGCUAGUUGGUGAGGUAAAGGCUCACCAAGGCGACGAUCUGUAGCGGGUCUGAGAGGAUGAUCCGCCACACUGGAACUGAGACACGGUCCAGACUCCUACGGGAGGCAGCAGUGGGGAAUUUUGGACAAUGGGGGCAACCCUGAUCCAGCCAUGCCGCGUGAGUGAAGAAGGCCUUCGGGUUGUAAAGCUCUUUCGGUCGGGAAGAAAUCGUAUGGGCUAAUACCCUGUGCGGAUGACGGUACCGGCAUAAGAAGCACCGGCUAACUACGUG
Molecule: ribosomal RNA, 502 nt
Filed under: uncultured bacterium
Lineage: Bacteria
Description: bacterial SSU rRNA
Rfam family: Bacterial small subunit ribosomal RNA
Source: RNAcentral